GACGAACGCUGGCGGCGUGCCUAAUAUAUGCAAGUAGAACGCUGAAGAGAGGAGCUUGCUCUUCUUGGAUGAGUUGCGAACGGGUGAGUAACGCGUAGGUAACCUGCCUUGUAGCGGGGGAUAACUAUUGGAAACGAUAGCUAAUACCGCAUAACAAUGGAUGACCCAUGUCAUUUAUUGGAAAGGGGCAAAUGCUCCACUACAAGAUGGACCUGCGUUGUAUUAGCUAGUAGGUGAGGUAACGGCUCACCUAGGCGACGAUACAUAGCCGACCUGAGAGGGUGAUCGGCCACACUGGGACUGAGACACGGCCCAGACUCCUACGGGGGGCAGCAGUAGGGAAUCUUCGGCAAUGGGGGCAACCCUGACCGAGCAACGCCGCGUGAGUGAAGAAGGUUUUCGGGUCGUAAAGCUCUGUUGUAAGUCAAGAACGAGUGUGAGAGUGGAAAGUUCACACUGUGACGGUAGCUUACCAGAAAGGGACGGCUAACUACGUG
RNAcentral lists this ribosomal RNA (497 nucleotides) under uncultured bacterium. Its description in RNAcentral is "partial 16S ribosomal RNA". It matches the Rfam family "Bacterial small subunit ribosomal RNA", at positions 28 to 507 of the family's 1533-position model. The record is from RNAcentral.